Long non-coding RNA from Podarcis raffonei (Aeolian wall lizard), 2152 nucleotides. RefSeq lists it as uncharacterized. The transcript is spliced from 3 exons. NCBI's taxonomy places the organism in Eukaryota, Metazoa, Chordata, Lepidosauria, Squamata, Lacertidae. The record is from RefSeq and is a predicted model, not a curated record.
CAACGGAAGUCUUCUUUCCAGUUCAAAUUGUUUCGGCUUUGUAUCUGUCUAAAUUUAGUGGUUUAUUAUCUUGUUACAUCUGUUCCAGCACGCAGCUUUAAUUAAGGACAAUUACCCUCAAAUCAUCUGUUUAUUCUUUGCUAACGAUCUCUGCUAUCGUGGGAGCGGCAUCCAUUAAGGCAGACCGGAACCUGAAGCCUCAAAAGCCCCAUUGCUAAGCAAUUCCAGUGAUUCCAAUUUCAGCUCUUUGCUCCUCACCCCACUUUGUAAGGCUGGCAUGGUCUGUACAGUAGUGACCUGAGAGUAGAUCCCAUUGAACUCAUUGGGGCUUAUGGACAGAACUUGGUGGCAAAACGAGUUACCAUCCUGUCCCUAAGCAUGAAAAUUGCAACCCCACAGCAUGGGCAGAAAACAGACAAGUAGCUAAUACAUGUAAGUGGCCCCAUGCUUGGUGCUUUCUAUGGAGAGUCCUGUUGACGCUCUUUGAGCUCUCUCAUUGCAAGCCAGGCAGAUGUUGCGGCCAUAUUUGUCUCUUGCAUGGGGACCAAAUAUUCGGGGAAGCUUUUCAUCUCCAAUUGGUAGGAAAGAGGGUUCAUUCUGGUGGGCUGGAUCUGGAGCACAAAGGGUCAAGUUCUACUUGCAUGAGCCCUUAUGUUCAUUCUUCAAACUUAUUAGGCAGGAACGUCAGAGGUCAAAUCUGAGAGUAUUUCAUUCUGGGCGUCUUGUGGCAGAGCACAGAAGGCAUGUAAUCAAUUCUUUUCAGUUCUGUCAAGUAGGUCCUUCCCAGGGCUGUCUGAGUUAUGGGGUUCCUUGGGGUCCAGGUCAGCUGACUAGUCAGGAUUGUCACCUGCAGAGUAUAUGUCAACUAAAGGAUAAUAGUCUGCCUUGGAUUGAGGACUUUUUGGAGGUGUUGCUGAAUGUCGAAGCAGAGGAGCUGGUGAUGCCACAUUUUGGAAUAAUCUUGAGACUAAUACACCACUCCUCCUUAGAUAUUCUCUGUACUUAUACACUAUAUUCACAAACUUUAUACUAUAUGCACUAUAUUCACAAACUUUACACUCCUCUUGUGAGAAGAUACCUAAAGGAUUAGGGUAGCUUGAGAGAAGUAGCUUAUUUUGAGACAGCACCCAUUUCCAAUUCUUUUUUUAUGAAAACUCUCUUCCUAGUUGGUUUUGUUUUGGCUUCUGACAGGACACCAGAGCAUUUGAUAACCUUGCAUAUCGUUUCAUAUUGAUAUAAGGAUCUGGUGUGCAAAUUCCAGUACAGUGGUACCUCGGGUUACAUACGCUUCAGUUACAUACGCUUCAGCUUACAGACUCCGCUAACCUAGAAAUAGUACCUCGGGUUAGAACUUUGCUUCAGGAUGAGAACAGAAAUUGUGCUCUGGUGGUGCGGCGGCAGCGGGAGGCCCCAUUAGCUAAAGUGGCGCUUCAGGUUAAGAACAGUUUCAGGUUAAGAAUGGACAUCUGAGAACGAAUUAGUGUUCUGUCUGGACCCAGACCAUGAGCUACUCUUAAGUAAGUUAAAAAGUAUUUUUAAGUCAACUUUUUAAUAUUGCACUAUUUUUAAAAUUUUUAACAUUUUUGCUCUUCUUUGUACUUUUAGACCUCCUUUUGCCAUGUGGACGAAUCAAACUUCCCUUAUUGAUCUAUUUUUAAUGGUAGGGAAAGAGAUAUUGUUGUAUUAUCUGGUGCCACAGACUCUGCUAGAUUUUAUUCAGAAGGUUUUACAAGUACCUAUCAGGAUGAUUAGUUCCUCUACCUGUUUAGCCUGAAUUUGGCCUUGAGUCGCUUGAGCUCCUGGUCUCAGUGCCAGAGAUGACUUAGCAGUUGAGCUGCCUGGGCCCAAAACCUCUUUCUGCUCAUCCUCAGAGCUGCUGAGAGAUCCUAUAAGGCUGAGGAAGAAAUUGAGCCUGAAAUGAUUGAACAAUGCAAAUGACUGUUUGUGAAAGAGGAAGAAGGGAAAUGAAUUACUGCCUUUUUUGAGAAAAAAUUUUGAGAAAAUUUGACAGGAUGUACCUCCAUGUCCCUGAGAUCUCUGAAGCCUACAUGGAAGAAGGCCUGGGCAGCUCAGAGCAGCCUCAUCCUGGUUGGAAAAGGCAGGACUGGUGGAAGAAUAUUCCCAGAGAGAACAGGAGAUACAUCUCCUAUUG